ACGGUCGCAAGACUAAAACUCAAAUGAAUUGACGGGGGCCCGCACAAGCGGUGGAGCAUGUGGUUUAAUUCGAUGCAACGCGAAGAACCUUACCUGGCCUUGACAUAGUAGAGACUUUCCAGAGAUGGAUUGGUGCCUUCGGGAAUCUACAUACAGGUGCUGCAUGGCUGUCGUCAGCUCGUGUCGUGAGAUGUUGGGUUAAGUCCCGCAACGAGCGCAACCCUUUUCCUUACUUGCCAGCAUUUCGGAUGGGAACUUUAAGGAUACUGCCAGUGACAAACUGGAGGAAGGCGGGGACGACGUCAAGUCAUCAUGGCCCUUACGGCCAGGGCUACACACGUGCUACAAUGGUCGGUACAAAGGGUUGCUACCUCGCGAGAGGAUGCUAAUCUCAAAAAGCCGAUCGUAGUCCGGAUCGCAGUCUGCAACUCGACUGCGUGAAGUCGGAAUCGCUAGUAAUCGCGGAUCAGAAUGCCGCGGUGAAUACGUUCCCGGGCCUUGUACACACCGCCCGUCACACCAUGGGAGUUUGUUGCACCAGAAGUAGGUAGUCUAACCGCAAGGAGGACGCUUACCACGGUGUGGCCGAUGACUGGGGUG
RNAcentral lists this ribosomal RNA (600 nucleotides) under uncultured bacterium. Its description in RNAcentral is "bacterial SSU rRNA". It matches the Rfam family "Bacterial small subunit ribosomal RNA", at positions 882 to 1482 of the family's 1533-position model. The record is from RNAcentral.